Long non-coding RNA from Ctenopharyngodon idella (grass carp), 3170 nucleotides. RefSeq lists it as uncharacterized. Lineage: Eukaryota; Metazoa; Chordata; Actinopteri; Cypriniformes; Xenocyprididae. The transcript has 4 exons. The record is from RefSeq and is a predicted model, not a curated record.
GGGGACAUGCAAAUUCUCUUUUGAUUAGGAGCUCUUUGCCUUUCUCAGAAUCAGAGAUCUUUGUCGUUCUAAGAAUCAGAGCUCUUUUCCGUUCUAAGAACAGGAGCUCUUUGCCGUUCUAAGAACAGGAGCUCUUUGCCGUUGUGGGGAGCAAAGAACGGCAUAAAAAAAACAGGAGCUCUGGGGAAUUCGUAGCCUAAUGGUUAGUGAGUCUGACUGGGAACCCAAAGGUUGCUGAUUCGAUUCCAGCACCGGCAGGAAAUGACUGAGGUGCCCUUGAGCAAGGCACCUAACCCCUAAUCACUCCCCGGGCGCCACAGCAUAAAGGCUGCCCACUGCUCCGGAAUCAGCUCUCUUUGCCGUUCUCAGAACUUUCUUCACAUGAGGUUUUAAAACAGCAUUCUGAAAUUCAUCAGAACAGAUCUCAGAGCUGCGGUGGAUGUUUCCUCUUUCCUGCUCAUCACAAGAUUCAGAAAAAUCACACAUCCAGAAAACUGCUGGAGCCUCAGAAAUCACAGAGCAGCAGAAAACAAGAAGACAGAGAGAAAAAUGGAGACACAAACCAGUGGAUCACAAGAGAGAAGAGGACUGAGAGCUGUUAGACAUGACAGUAUGAAAAGAAAGAAGCCAGACUUGUCAUGUGAUCCAGAUGAUCCUGUAAAGAUUCAUUCUGAUGUCAAAACUGAGGAGAGAUUCUCUCAUCAAAACCCUUCAUCAUGUUCUCAAGAACACACAACAUCACUGACGUCCAGAUACCAGCAGCUGAAGACCCGAACAUCUUCUUCAUCAUCAUCAUCAUCAUCACAGACUCCAUCCAUUCCUGGAUUCUGGAAGCUUUUACAGACUAAUGACAGACUGAUGAAAAAAAACAGACUGAGGGGUCAUUUACACAACACCGUUUUGACAACUAAAAACGUAUCGUUUUGAGGGCCUGAAAACAGAAACUUUUGAAAACGAGUUUCAAAGUGCAAGUUUUUGAAAAGAAUACUGUUAUUGCCUGCGUGUCAACUACACAAACAUGAAUAUGUGAAAACGGUGACGUCAUGUACAUGUUAGAGGUGUGCUGCCCGACCAGUUCUGAAGAACUCGCAGGUUUCAGAUCGGGUUCAGGUUAAGGUUUCAGGAAUAGUUUCCGGUUUGGGUCUGUCACUGAGAAAACUAUAUAGGCUAUUAUAUAAGGUUUGCAUUCCGUCUUCUGUGUUGUGGCUGAAAGAGUGCACGAGGGUAUUUAAAAUUUGUAUUUUAAAAGUGGGGUAAGUAGAUUUUGAAAAACACUGUUUGGAAGUUAGUCGGCCGACACCAACAACAAACGUGUAACCAAUCAGCAUUAGGGGGCGUAUGACGGUCGAGGAGAGAGAACAAGUAAGAGGGAGAUUUGAAAGAAAAAAAAAACUGCAGAAAGAGAGAUGAGACACAAAAGAUUAUCACUGGAAUGAAGGUUUAUGACUGGUCAAGCGCUUUAGGACCAGCGGAAAUAUUAGAAAAGCUGGAGAGAGCUUAACGGAAGGCCUGAAAACAGACGAGGAGGCUGCUUUGAUUCCUUCUCAUGUGAGUAACACUGGGUUUGACUGUCUGGAGCUGCUGUGCUGUUGGUGAUUAACAACAAACUCUUGUUUGCAUUCACUCUUGUGUACUGUACGUUCAUUUUUUGCUCUUCCUUGUCGUUCAUUCAUCAACUGCGCUUUAUUUUUCAUGAAGCAUUUUGUUGUGCGUCAGCUGUGAUAAACAGACAUCCACUCGUAUUGCGUGUGUAACAGAGGUCAGAUAGUGAGAGUUGAGCAGGUAAACCACUGCGCACUGACGACCGCUAGAGAAUGAGAUGUUUAGUGUCAUUGUUAGUGCACUCGCCUCGGGGGUUCGAGACCGACUCGGAGCAGGGUGGCUAGGAUUGGAGAGUGAGUUUGGAGGCGGAGCAAUGGAGAGAGGGGUGGGUUUGUUUGGGUUGAUUUCAAAUAUCAACAAUGUCCAUGAACUACUUACCCCACCUUUAGCUGUUUUGCACAUGUGCUCCCGCUCUCACGCGCUCUUUCGGUCACAACACAGCACACGGCACUCAAACCUUCAACUAUGAGAGCGAUAAGACAAACAUUUACUGAAGGAAAACUUACAGUGCCAAACGAUGCAGAGAAAGCAGCACAACGAAUUCUGCUGAAUAACAGGUGAGCUAGGCGAUAGCACAAAAUUAAACAGACUCUAAAAUUACUUCGCAAUAAUUAAUGUGUGUGUGAAGUGAACGAAUGUAAACUGAGCACAGCCACAAAUCAAAUAGCCACACUACCGUCUGUCUCAGAAAUCAGAGAUUUGUCAAGAGUAGGCUAAUGCUAUCAUCAUCUAAAACACUACAUCAUACACAUUUUGUAUUAUUAUUUUGUAUUAACCAUUUCACUACACUCCAUCUCAUGUACUGUAUAUGUAUGUGACAAAUAAAGAACCUUGAACCUUUAGUUUAAUCAGCUCAUGUGAAUAACCUUUAUACAGUUCUGUUGAGUUUAUGUUUGUUCUGAGAAUAGACAUGACUUUCUUUUCCUCACUCAAAUUCCUCCACAACUUGUAAUAAUUUAAAACAAGAUUCAGAGGCAAUAGAUGGCCUAUUUAUACAGUUCUUACAGCGUUCUGUGUGUGUCAUGUGUACUUGGAGCCUGUCAAUCAACAUUAGAGCGCCACCCUCAGGCUGAAUUACUCAAGGAUGUUAGUGGUGAAAUAAAGCUUUGUAAAGCACCAAGGCUUUCCCAUCAACUGUAUCGUAAAACAGUUCAUUACUCAGAGCUUUUCAACACGGUUCACACUAAAGACAUCUUGAGGUCAAAAGGUGGAAAAGCUGCCUUUGCGUCCCACAUGACCCAGACAUUUUUUGAUUGUUUCAUAUAAUAAAUCAGUUUGUGCUUUGAAAAACAUAAAGGCAAUAAAAAUAAUUAGUCUAUAUAAAUACUCUUUCACAUGUCUUGGUACAUAAACAAUGUAUGAAUAAAGGAGUCGAAUGUGUUUAUGAAAGAAUGAAUAAAUAUGACUACUUGUUGUGUAUAGUGUUACUGUAGCCAUUUUUAUGAAUCUGCUUAGAUUAAUGAGUCUUUUAAUCAUAUUGAUCAUGAACUACAGCAGUGUUUCCACUCUUUCUGAAAGUGAAGCAGCUUCAGAGUGACAUAAACCACAAUAAAUUUCACAUGAUUGCA